This is an RNA transcript of Musa acuminata AAA Group (dessert banana), 1642 nucleotides long. It is a transcript of the gene named MADS-box transcription factor 23-like, with no coding region annotated. The record is from RefSeq and is a predicted model, not a curated record. The transcript is spliced from 10 exons. Lineage: Eukaryota; Viridiplantae; Streptophyta; Magnoliopsida; Zingiberales; Musaceae.
AAUCAGUCAAAGUUAAAGAACGGUUUAGUUUGCAGUACCAAAAGCUGCCUCGCCACCUCCCUCCCCUUCUACUCUUUGCAUCACAUAAAGAAUAGGAGAUCCCGGAAGUGCCGAUCUAAAAGGCAACAGCAGCAGCACCGCCACCCUCCACCUUAAAGCAAGAUCUGGUAUCUUGAGCUCAGGAGGAGUAUGGGGAGGGGAAAGAUCGCGAUCCGCAGGAUCGAUAACUCCACUAGCCGGCAGGUGACCUUCUCGAAGAGGAGAAAGGGUUUACUGAAGAAGGCCAAAGAGCUCGCCAUCCUUUGUGAUGCGGAGGUCGGCGUUGUGGUCUUCUCCGCCACCGGCCGAGUCUAUGAUUACGCCAGCACCAGCAUGAAGUCUGUGAUGGAAAGAUACACUAGAGCAAAGGGGGAGCAUCAUCUGGUUAUGAACCCGAGUUCAGAAACUAUGUUCUGGCAAAGGGAGGCAACAAGCUUGAGGCAGCGACUGCAUAAAUUGCACGAAACUCAUAGACAGUUGAUGGGAGAACUUUCUGGUCUAGACAUCAAAGAUCUACAAAAUAUAGAGAACCAACUGGAGACGAAUCUGGAUGGUAUCCGAAAGAGGAAGGAACAACUUCUACUCGAGGAAAUUCAAGAAUUACAUCGGAAGGGGAGCCUUGUUCACCAAGAAAAUAUGGAACUCUACAGGAAUAUAAACAUCAUGUGUCAAGAAAACACGGAAUUACACAGGAAGGUUGAUGCAACAAGGGAGGCAAAUGACAAGAAUUCAGUUAUGCCAGACGGAUUUAGUAAACCAGAGGAAGCAAAUGUACUCAUUCAUCUCCAACUGAGCCAACCACAUCAGCAAGCCGAAGGAUUACAACUGAGAGCUCCAAAGCUAGGAUUUCAACUGAACUGAGAAGACAUAAAGAUCAAGUACGGCUACUCAAUGUCUUCGUCACAGUUAUCACAAGACAUAUCAGCAUUUUGUUAAUUGGUGUAUAAGGAGCAGCAUUAUUUCUCAAAAUAGUAAUCCAUCUUGUGAAUUGACCAGAGUAACCAAUUACACAGUAAAGGUAGGAAACUCCUUGCAAAACGAAAGAAAAGAGGGAGAUUUCCGACAACAACAUAAUUUGUCCUUUCCAAUUUGCUCCAGAAUCGGCGCCCAAACCAGGCCCUACUGUCCAAUCCGGUCUGGCUCUAAUUUUUGUUCUUCCAAAACACAGAAAUAUCUAUCCCACCCAAAACAUCGUGGUUACAAAAAUCACCCUGUUUAUCCAAGAGAAGCAAAAUGGAAAGUUCAGAAGGGGAGGUAUCCUCCCCAAGAUACAUGCCAAUGAUUCAACCUACCAAAAGUUUUUGUCGCCUGAAGGGCAACCUUUACCCAAAACACUUGGAUCCCACCGGAGCAUGGAGUGGAGCUCUCACUCGCGGCCACAAAUUCUACGCCUGCAAGAAUAAAAUAAGGGCACGAAGACGCACUUCUUAGUUCGUCCUUUUAGCAAAUUACAUACGUAUCCCUCAUUUCGAUGUAAUUUUCUUAUUUAUCUAUAUAAAUAUAAAUUUAGGCAUACCAAACAUAAUUUGGUAUUAAAAUAGUUUACAUUUUUCAAUCAAAUUUGAUGUUGUUAAGAAUGGUGAAUCUGAAAUUUAUUGCUAGA